Eriocheir sinensis (Chinese mitten crab) is the source of this 2483-nucleotide long non-coding RNA. RefSeq lists it as uncharacterized. The transcript is spliced from 6 exons. NCBI's taxonomy places the organism in Eukaryota, Metazoa, Arthropoda, Malacostraca, Decapoda, Varunidae. The record is from RefSeq and is a predicted model, not a curated record.
UUCUACCAUCCCUAACUAAAUUAAUGUAAAUAAAUAUAUAUAGAAUUAUUUGAUAGAUCAUUUUGCACUCACUUAAAUGGGUGUAGUUCUAUAAUACAAGUGAACACGGACGAUAAACAAAAUUAAUGUAGAUAAAAAAAAGACAUAUAUAUAAGUCCUUUUUUUAUAGGCUCACUGUACAUAUAUCAAGACUAUAUAUGGGUCGAACGUACCUCAGACCUUUCUUCUUCAUUAGGCCUCAGAGUUUGUAGUACGAGUGUUAGAGUGUACAUUAACUAAGCCUUUUGUAUUUUAGAAUGUUAGGCAAAAUCAUAAAUCAUCAUUCUUCAUAAAUAUUAUCACUAAAAUCUAAUCAUAUCUAGCAAUCACAUUUUUAGCUACAUCCGAGGUCAAUCCUUUCCUGCGUUCUUAAUUAAUGAGACUCCCAAGUUCUGUGUUGUGUCUCCUUGGGGGCGUGAAUGUCAGGGGAGACUAAUUGAUUCAGAGUUUGCUGGUGAGAGGGAUGAGGAAAUGGAGGUGCUGGUUAACUCUUGCAUGAGGGAUUGGGACAGUAUAGGGAUGAAGGAAUGAAGGUGCUGGUUAACUCUUGCACGAGGGAUUGGGACAGUAUAGGGAUGAAGGAAUGAAGGUGCUGGUUAACUCUUGCAUGAGGGAUUGGGACAGUAUAGGGAUGAAGGAAUGAAGGUGCUGGUUAACUCUUGCAUGAGGGAUUGGGACAGUAUAGGGAUGAAGGAAUGAAGGUGCUGGUUAACUCUUGCAUGAGGGAUUGGGACAGUAUAGGGAUGAAGGAAUGAAGGUGCUGGUUAACUCUUGCAUGAGGGAUUGGGACAGUAUAGGGAUGAAGGAAUGAAGGUGCUGGUUAACUCUUGCAUGAGGGAUUGGGACAGUAUAGGGAUGACGGAAUGAAGGUGUUGGUUAACUCUUGCAUGAGGGAUUGGGACAGUAUAGGGAUGAAGGAAUGAAGGUGCUGGUUAACUCUUGCAUGAGGGAUUGGGACAGUAUAGGGAUGAAGGAAUGAAGGUGCUGGUUAACUCUUGCAUGAGGGAUUGGGACAGUAUAGGGAUGAAGGAAUGAAGGUGCUGGUUAACUCCUGCAUGAGGGAUUGGGACAGUAUAGGGAUGAAGGUGCUGGUUAACUCUUGCACGAGGGAUUGGGACAGUAUAGGGAUGAAGGAAUGAAGGUGCUGGUUAACUCUUGCAUGAGGGAUUGGGACAGUAUAGGGAUGAAGGAAUGAAGGUGCUGGUUAACUCCUGCAUGAGGGAUUGGGACAGUAUAGGGAUGAAGGAAUGAAGGUGCUGGUUAACUCUUGCAUGAGGGAUUGGGACAGUACAGGGAUGAAGGUGCUGGUUAACUCUUGCAUGAGGGAUUGGGACAGUAUAGGGAUGAAGGAAUGAAGGUGCUGGCUAACUCUUGCAUGAGGGAUUGGGACAGUAUAGGGAUGAAGGAAUGAAGGUGCUGGUUAACUCUUGCAUGAGGGAUUGGGACAGUAUAGGGAUGAAGGAAUGAAGGUGCUGGUUAACUCUUGCAUGAGGGAUUGGGACAGUAUAGGGAUGAAGGAAUGAAGGUGCUGGUUAACUCUUGCAUGAGGGAUUGGGACAGACAGCAUAAGGAUGAUCUAGAUUUGAAGGCUUAAUGGGAGUGUGGAAGGGUUGAAGGUGUGAUGUUAACAGAUUCAGAAUAUACGAAUAAAAGAAAAUAUUAAGAUAGAAAAGCAACAUUGUGGUUGAACAAAAUGUGCCUUGGGAUAUAUUGCAGCCAUGAGAUAUGAGGGAGGAAAUAUUGCUUCAACAUAUGUGUUUGAACAAGGAAAUAUUGCUCCCACAUAUGUGUUUGAACAAGGAUAUAUUGCUCCCACAUAUGUGUUUGAACAAGGAUAUAUUGCUCCCACAUAUGUGUUUGAACAAGGAUAUAUUGCUCCCACAUAUGUGUUUGAACAAGGAAAUAUUGCUCCCACAUAUGUGUUUGAACAAGGAUAUAUUGCUCCCACAUAUGUGUUUGAACAAGGAUAUAUUGCUCCCACAUAUGUGUUUGAACAAGGAAAUAUUGCUCCCACAUAUGUGUUUGAACAAGGAAAUAUUGCUCCCACAUAUGUGUUUGAACAAGGAUAUAUUGCUCCCACAUAUGUGUUUGAACAAGGAAAUAUUGCUCCCACAUAUGUGUUUGAACAAGGAUAUAUUGCUCCCACAUAUGUGAUUGAACAAGGAUAUAUUGCUCCCACAUAUGUGUUUGAACAAGGAUAUAUUGCUCCCACAUAUGUGUUUGAACAAGGAAAUAUUGCUCCCACAUAUGUGUUUGAACAAGGAUAUAUUGCUCCCACAUAUGUGUUUGAACAAGGAAAUAUUGCUCCCACAUAUGUGUUUGAACAAGGAUAUAUUGCUCCCACAUAUGUGUUUGAACAAGGAUAUAUUGCUCCCACAUAUGUGUUUGAACAAGGAUAUAUUGCUCCCACAUAUGUGUUUGAACAAGGAUAUAUUGCUCCCACA